AUUGAACGCUGGCGGCAGGCCUAACACAUGCAAGUCGAGCGGAUGAAGGGAGCUUGCUCCUGGAUUCAGCGGCGGACGGGUGAGUAAUGCCUAGGAAUCUGCCUGGUAGUGGGGGAUAACGUCCGGAAACGGGCGCUAAUACCGCAUACGUCCUGAGGGAGAAAGUUGGGGAUCUUCGGACCUCACGCUAUCAGAUGAGCCUAGGUCGGAUUAGCUAGUUGGUGGGGUAAAGGCCUACCAAGGCGACGAUCCGUAACUGGUCUGAGAGGAUGAUCAGUCACACUGGAACUGAGACACGGUCCAGACUCCUACGGGAGGCAGCAGUGGGGAAUAUUGGACAAUGGGCGAAAGCCUGAUCCAGCCAGGCCGCGUGUGUGAAGAAGGUCUUCGGAUUGUAAAGCACUUUAAGUUGGGAGGAAGGGCAGUAAGUUAAUACCUUGCUGUUUUGACGUUACCAACAGAAUAAGCACCGGCUAACUUCGUG
Molecule: ribosomal RNA, 484 nt
Filed under: uncultured bacterium
Lineage: Bacteria
Description: partial 16S ribosomal RNA
Rfam family: Bacterial small subunit ribosomal RNA
Source: RNAcentral